CUCUAUGAGUGCCUUUUGUACUAUGUGUUAGUUUUAAGUGUAAUUACCCAUUAAGUGAAGAAAUGGAUGCAGCCCUGUCUGUGUUAAAUGCAAAAAGGGAUGAUGCGAGAAGCAGAAAAAUGAAAGAAACCCUAAAUGGUAUCAGCGAAUCCUCACUGUAAACACUUGUGUCAGGACAGGGGCAAAAUUAGUUAUAGCCCCGUAGGAUAAAUCAAAGAAUUGAUAAUCACAAACAUAAUAUUCACUGUAAAAAUCAACUGGUCAAAGGUACUAUAAAAAACAGAAAUGUAAAUCAGUACUAAAAUGUAAAUCAGUGGUUAGUAAUCAUGUUCAUGUUAAUGUACCCAUUGUCAGGUACUGGGUUUGUGGGUUCACAUUUCCUCUUCACAGGUUGUUGGAGGGCUAGGGAGACUCAUAAGGAGACUCCAUCCAGCUAAUUACCUCGGCUGCAGAGUCACCCUUCUCACCUGCAGCCCAUCAUGUAAUUAGACGGGAGGAAUAAAGGAGCCAGUGAACCAGCCACUCAGCGCCAGAUUGUUUGCCUUAGUGGUAACGUCCAGCCACCUGAAUCUGUUCCUGUUUUAUUCUAGUCUGUUCCCUGAAACCUCUGUCUGUCAUCACAGGAUUCCUAGAACCCGUUCUGGAUUACACCUUUGUGUGGAAGUCUCAUACCAGCCUCUGCAGCUCCCGGAUCUCCUGAACCACGGCUGAAUCCUCCCUGGCUCUGUUCUCCUCCCGUGCGUCUCCUGUUCACCCUCCAACAACCCGCCUCACUUCUCCGAACCUCCACAUCUACCCACAGCCCCGGUACCGGCUCACCUCUCCCACGCUCCGCUACAACCAAAUCUCAUGAUCCAAUCUCUAGCUCCGGAACCAGCCCAUCCCUGCCAGCCUCCGCUCACCUCUAAUAAACUAUUUUUUACUACA
Nothobranchius furzeri (turquoise killifish) is the source of this 927-nucleotide long non-coding RNA. RefSeq lists it as uncharacterized. NCBI's taxonomy places the organism in Eukaryota, Metazoa, Chordata, Actinopteri, Cyprinodontiformes, Nothobranchiidae. The record is from RefSeq and is a predicted model, not a curated record.